CGGGCAGUAGCUAAGUGAUAGAGCCCCCGCUUCGCAUGCGAGAAGGCCUGGGAUCGAUUCCCGGCUGCUUUC
This 72-nucleotide transfer RNA is filed under the name Toxocara canis (dog roundworm). It matches the Rfam family "tRNA". From Rfam's summary of the family: Transfer RNA (tRNA) molecules are approximately 80 nucleotides in length. The record is from Rfam by way of RNAcentral. Lineage: Eukaryota; Metazoa; Nematoda; Chromadorea; Rhabditida; Toxocaridae.